RNAcentral lists this ribosomal RNA (1719 nucleotides) under Staphylococcus aureus. RNAcentral's name for it is "partial 23S ribosomal RNA". It matches the Rfam family "Bacterial large subunit ribosomal RNA", at positions 426 to 2149 of the family's 2925-position model. The record is from RNAcentral. Lineage: Bacteria; Bacillati; Bacillota; Bacilli; Caryophanales; Staphylococcaceae.
GUGAAAUUCCGUCGGAAUCUGGGAGGACCAUCUCCUAAGGCUAAAUACUCUCUAGUGACCGAUAGUGAACCAGUACCGUGAGGGAAAGGUGAAAAGCACCCCGGAAGGGGAGUGAAAUAGAACCUGAAACCGUGUGCUUACAAGUAGUCAGAGCCCGUUAAUGGGUGAUGGCGUGCCUUUUGUAGAAUGAACCGGCGAGUUACGAUUUGAUGCAAGGUUAAGCAGUAAAUGUGGAGCCGUAGCGAAAGCGAGUCUGAAUAGGGCGUUUAGUAUUUGGUCGUAGACCCGAAACCAGGUGAUCUACCCUUGGUCAGGUUGAAGUUCAGGUAACACUGAAUGGAGGACCGAACCGACUUACGUUGAAAAGUGAGCGGAUGAACUGAGGGUAGCGGAGAAAUUCCAAUCGAACCUGGAGAUAGCUGGUUCUCUCCGAAAUAGCUUUAGGGCUAGCCUCAAGUGAUGAUUAUUGGAGGUAGAGCACUGUUUGGACGAGGGGCCCCUCUCGGGUUACCGAAUUCAGACAAACUCCGAAUGCCAAUUAAUUUAACUUGGGAGUCAGAACAUGGGUGAUAAGGUCCAUGUUCGAAAGGGAAACAGCCCAGACCACCAGCUAAGGUCCCAAAAUAUAUGUUAAGUGGAAAAGGAUGUGGCGUUGCCCAGACAACUAGGAUGUUGGCUUAGAAGCAGCCAUCAUUUAAAGAGUGCGUAAUAGCUCACUAGUCGAGUGACACUGCGCCGAAAAUGUACCGGGGCUAAACAUAUUACCGAAGCUGUGGAUUGUCCUUUGGACAAUGGUAGGAGAGCGUUCUAAGGGCGUUGAAGCAUGAUCGUAAGGACAUGUGGAGCGCUUAGAAGUGAGAAUGCCGGUGUGAGUAGCGAAAGAUGGGUGAGAAUCCCGUCCACCGAUUGACUAAGGUUUCCAGAGGAAGGCUCGUCCGCUCUGGGUUAGUCGGGUCCUAAGCUGAGGCCGACAGGCGUAGGCGAUGGAUAACAGGUUGAUAUUCCUGUACCACCUAUAAUCGUUUUAAUCGAUGGGGGGACGCAGUAGGAUAGGCGAAGCGUGCGAUUGGAUUGCACGUCUAAGCAGUAAGGCUGAGUAUUAGGCAAAUCCGGUACUCGUUAAGGCUGAGCUGUGAUGGGGAGAAGACAUUGUGUCUUCGAGUCGUUGAUUUCACACUGCCGAGAAAAGCCUCUAGAUAGAAAAUAGGUGCCCGUACCGCAAACCGACACAGGUAGUCAAGAUGAGAAUUCUAAGGUGAGCGAGCGAACUCUCGUUAAGGAACUCGGCAAAAUGACCCCGUAACUUCGGGAGAAGGGGUGCUCUUUAGGGUUAACGCCCAGAAGAGCCGCAGUGAAUAGGCCCAAGCGACUGUUUAUCAAAAACACAGGUCUCUGCUAAACCGUAAGGUGAUGUAUAGGGGCUGACGCCUGCCCGGUGCUGGAAGGUUAAGAGGAGUGGUUAGCUUCUGCGAAGCUACGAAUCGAAGCCCCAGUAAACGGCGGCCGUAACUAUAACGGUCCUAAGGUAGCGAAAUUCCUUGUCGGGUAAGUUCCGACCCGCACGAAAGGCGUAACGAUUUGGGCACUGUCUCAACGAGAGACUCGGUGAAAUCAUAGUACCUGUGAAGAUGCAGGUUACCCGCGACAGGACGGAAAGACCCCGUGGAGCUUUACUGUAGCCUGAUAUUGAAAUUCGGCACAGCUUGUACAGGAUAGGUA